CAGAGACUUAGCAGUAGAUGCUUUGUGUGCCUUCGGGAACUCUGAGACAGGUGCUGCAUGGCUGUCGUCAGCUCGUGUUGUGAAAUGUUGGGUUUAGUNCCCGCAAGANNGCCAACCCUUUUUCUUUUGUUGCCAGCGGUUCGGCCGGGAACUCAAAGGAGACUGCCAGUGAUAAACUGGAGGAAGGUGGGGAUGACGUCAAGUCAUCAUGGCCCUUACGAGUAGGGCUACACACGUGCUACAAUGGCAUAUACAAAGAGAAGCGACCUCGCGAGAGCAAGCGGACCUCAUAAAGUAUGUCGUAUCCGGAUCGGAGUCUGCAACUCGACUCCGUGAAGUCGGAAUCGCUAGUAAUCGUGGAUCAGAAUGCCACGGUGAAUACGUUCCCGGGGUCUUGUAC
This 400-nucleotide ribosomal RNA is filed under the name Pantoea agglomerans. RNAcentral describes it as "bacterial SSU rRNA". It matches the Rfam family "Bacterial small subunit ribosomal RNA", at positions 989 to 1386 of the family's 1533-position model. The record is from RNAcentral. Lineage: Bacteria; Pseudomonadati; Pseudomonadota; Gammaproteobacteria; Enterobacterales; Erwiniaceae.